AUUGAACGCUGGCGGCAUGCCUUAUACAUGCAAGUCGAACGGAAACGGGCCGUGGUUGGUCGUCGAGCGGCGGACGGGGGCGUAAUACAAACGAACGGGUACGCUCGCGGGGGAUAACGAGGCGAAAGCUUUACUAGUACCGCAUACGAUCUAAUAUAGUAAGCCGGGGACCUCAAGGCCUUGCGAGGGCUGUGCGGCCGGUGCCAGAUUAGUUAGUUGGUGGGUUAAGAGCUUACCAAGGCAACGAUUUGUAGCUGACCUGAGAGGAUGAUCGGCCACACUGGAACUGAGACACGGUCCAGACUCCUACGGGAGGCAGCAGUAGGGAAUCUUCCGCAAUGGGCGAAAGCCUGACGGAGCCACGCCGCGUGAGUGAUGAAGGCCUUCGGAUCGUAAACCGCUGUUAUAAGGGAAGAACAACUGUGUAAGAAACCAUGCACGUCUUGACGGUACCGAAUCAGAAAGCCACGGCUAACUACGUG
Molecule: ribosomal RNA, 482 nt
Filed under: uncultured bacterium
Lineage: Bacteria
Description: partial 16S ribosomal RNA
Rfam family: Bacterial small subunit ribosomal RNA
Source: RNAcentral